AACGAACGCUGGCGGCAUGCCUAACACAUGCCAGUCGAACGAGACCUUCGGGUCUAGUGGCGCACGGGUGCGUAACGCGUGGGAACCUGCCCUUAGGUUCGGAAUAACUCCCCGAAAGGGGUGCUAAUACCGGAUAAUGUCUUCGGACCAAAGAUUUAUCGCCUUUGGAUGGGCCCGCGUUGGAUUAGCUAGUUGGUAGGGUAAAAGCCUACCAAGGCGACGAUCCAUAGCUGGUCUGAGAGGAUGAUCAGCAACACUGGGACUGAGACACGGCCCAGACUCCUACGGGAGGCAGCAGUGGGGAAUAUUGGACAAUGGGCGAAAGCCUGAUCCAGCAAUGCCGCGUGAGUGAUGAAGGCCUUAGGGUUGUAAAGCUCUUUUACCUGGGAUGAUAAUGACAGUACCGGGAGAAUAAGCUCCGGCUAACUCCGUG
This 433-nucleotide ribosomal RNA is filed under the name uncultured bacterium. Its description in RNAcentral is "partial 16S ribosomal RNA". It matches the Rfam family "Bacterial small subunit ribosomal RNA", at positions 29 to 507 of the family's 1533-position model. The record is from RNAcentral.